AAAUUUUAGUAGCAAGUCAGCAUAGACAUACUUUAAGAUGGAAGCAUGUAGUCCGGGACUGGUAGCUAAUCAUUUGAUUAGUUAUUUCUCAAGCAUAUCAAUCAUUAGCUAUAUACAAACUUGCUAUAAUAUAUGAGGAGUUGGAGUGAAACAAAUAAGCUAGGUAUUUUCCUAUACAAGCAGUAUGAAAGUGUCAAUGCAGCCAUGGUGGGAGGCCGACGAGCCAUUCCAAUCAUCCCACUCAUCAACCGACAACAGUGUGACAAUGAGGAGUCGGGCAUACCGUGGUGUCGAAGGCUCGAAGCCGACCCCAAAGUGGAGUCGAAUUGGAGACGAAGUGGUGUCGAAGCCCAAGUGGAGCUCAUGGUCUCUGUCGUGGUUUUGUCACGGCAGAUGUCCUCGUGAAAGGACUUAAAGAUGGAGCCAUCGCACCUUGGUGGCGACUCAAAGGGGUGAGCGAAAGCGAGACUCAGAUUUACCCAGGUUUGGCCCCUCGUGAGGAGGUAAAAGCCUACGUCCUGCUUUGUGUAGAUUGAUGAUGGUUUCGAUUACAAGGAGGACGUAACUCGUCUGACCUAGCUCUCGAUUCUCUCUAACUCGCCUGACCUUUCCCUGGGACUCGCCUUUAUAUACAGGUCGAGGCCCUAGGGUUUACAAAGUCCCGCUAUCCUACACUUGGUAGUCUUCCUUAUCUCUAAGUUGCCGUGCUCCCCACGAACAGGAGCUUCCUUGACGUUCCAUCAUCCGUACGAUCUUCUUGAACCACCCCACAACUCCUGGGCCACUGGAGACAUCGCCAAAGGUGAGUCGUCCCUUUGGUGACCCGGCCCAUUAAGGGCGGGUUACCCACAGGUAACAUCCCCAACAGUCUCUCCAUGCACCCAACGCCUCGACGGACGGCAACGCUUGCAGUGGGACCUGUUGGAGAAGAGGUUUGAUUCUAUAAUGGCGGCGGUGCUCAAAGGACACGAUUGCUUUUUAACUUAUACUCAUAUCGUCGUUGUUGAUCUGACGAGAGGAAGAAGGCGAUGUCAAAGUUUCAGAACAAAAGACAAUGAGAGAGGUGUGUUUUUCAGCAGCUCAAAACUCUGCUCCCUUUUUCUGUUAUUCUGAUCCUCUUCUUAUGCCCUAUUUACAGCAGUCGUUAGGUGAUCUAACUAACUCGUUUUACCCGAUUCGUUGGUCAUUUGCGAGGCUAUUUUAUUCGAGUUUUAUUUUUUCAUUUUAACAUUUAUGUUAAUGCGUGUAAUUUUUCAAAUUCGUAUUUUUAUUCAAAAUUUAUGAUUUUCCUUAUUAAAAAAAUUAGAUGAACUUUUCUGACAAAUGGUGAACUCUUUUAAAAUUUGAUGAACUUUUUUCAAAAUUUGAUGAACUGUUUUGGAAUUUGAUGAACUUUUUUAAAAUUUCGAUGAACUUUUUAAAUGAUUUCUGUUACUUUUUGUACGAAAAUGACCGUGAAACUGGGCCGGCCCAAUUUCCUGGGCGCCCACGCGCCAGUUCUCCUAGCGGGCGCUUAAGGCGCCGACUAGCUAGGAGCUCGUCAUUUAGGUCAAUCAAAAAAAAAAGAGCUCCUCAUUUAGAGUACUAGCGAUCUUUUUUUCUUUCCAAUCCCUGUAGCGAUCGUACAUAGCAUGAGGAUUUCAAUCCCUAUCGUUCCAUGGCCAUUUUAGCAGCGAGACCAUCGCCAAACGGCCGAGUAGCUCUAAAUUGUUUUAACACUAGGCCUAUAUAGAAAUUCUGGGGCGCCUGUGCAUGUCCGCGCUGCAGCUAGCUAGCACAGGAAUAUGAUGGCAUGUUGGGGAAGAAGAUGGAGUAGCUGCUUUCAGAUUCGCGGAUCGAUCCACCUUUUUCUUGCUUCUCUUGCGUCUGAAUUCCAUGAUGAAAUUUCAAAGAGCCUGGUAACGUCAUAUCAAUGGAAUGGGUCGUUCUGCUCGCUCCGAACGGCUCCUAGCUACCAGAAAAAAGGGAAAGUAGUGCUUGUACGUACCCAUCUUUGGUGCACCCACGAAAGAACCUUUGUGAAAAUGAUCAUCAACGAAAGUUAUGAACACUUGAAUAGUUUGGUGGUCAAAUAACAUUUGAGGAGCUUUGUAAAAAAAAACGGAUCCGGAAACCAGCCCCUAUGACCUCCCAGGUGAGGCAACUCGGGUGGGGCGCAGCCGCCAUAUUGGUCAACCCUGCCGUCACCGUUGGACGCCUCCGGUCAAAAACGGCAAGGCAAGAUUUUCAUAACAUGAAUCACAGAACGUCCAAGCUAGCUUGAGUUGGAGUCUAUGGAAGUCGAUAGAGUUAUCUUGGCAUAAUUAUAGGCCAAGCCCGAGGCUAAUAUCAUGUAGGGAAACAUAUUCCCUGUUUGUUUCACUCCAACAUCUCAUACAAACGGUGGAGGAAUAACGGAUGGAUUUGAAAUGAGUGCGGAAUAGAUACUAGCACAAGACCACUUGUUUCUAAAUUUCAGCUAUAUAUAUCUAGCUUACUUACUAUAAUUUGAUAUAUACCAGAGGAAGGAAGAUGUACAUUUUGUGAUGAACUAUAUAUACAUACCAGCCAAAUGAAUGCUACUUAAACAUCCAAUAGGCAUGCAUGCAUGCAAUCAUGAGUAUAUUGUUUGUGGCAUCGGCCGGGCACCAGCCCAAGCAUUUUCUUGGCACGAAUAAUGCAUAUGUGCACAACGUAUGUGUGAUUUACUGGAAACGGACACACAUUUGGACCUAUUCAACAUGUACUAGGAAAGUUCCAUCUUGUUCAACGGUACAACAAUCACGCCUGUCACCACGGAGAUUACCCGAAAUCAUCCCCAACCCCGACGUAUGUGACACGGUAGCAGCAUAAUAAAAGUCGCAGUAAUUAAGUGAUCGUUCUAUAUAUUACCACUGUCCAGGUUGUGAACAGAUAAGUCAUACACCCCAUGUCACGAAACAAAUACGUCAUACACCCCUCCCCCUCUCGUCUCCCCCCCCCCCUCGCCCCGCAGGCGGCCCAGCGGGGCAACCCAGGUGACGUCAGCAGCGACGGGAAGCUUCUCCCCCCUUUGCUCAGCCCUGGUUUGGCACGGACCAAUAUGGCCGGGCAAGGGCGCCGCGCUCGCGAGGGGCUGGCAGGCGUGGGUGGUGAGUGGUGACGGCGUUCGCGGGGACAUGGGCGGUGCCCCCUAUGGGUGCCUCUUGGUUCUUGAAGACAUUGUCGUGGAUCCCCUUCAUGUGUCAGGGCUCACGAUGAAAACAAUUGUCUGUUCUCAGACUCGGCAGCGACGAUACUUCAUGUCCAAAUCCUCUUGGGGGCAUUGUCUCUGAGCUCAGGGCCCCUCUUUGACCAUCGAUGAGGUGUUAGGCUUGUUUAGGCUUAUGUUCCAUCUGCUUUGUAAGGGGGUUCUCUAUCAUAUUGUAUCGUUUGUCCAUGUUCUCUGAUUCGGUGCUUUAUUUAUAAAGCGCGGCGAAAGCCUAUUUCGAGAAUUGGAAGCGGAAUCGAACGCAUGUCUCCUUUGGCUAAAGCAGUCCCGAAGGAUUGACACUAGUGGAGAAUCAGUCAACAGUCCCUGUUCGUAAGGACCUUUAGUGCCGGUUCUGCAACUGGCACUAAAGGUUGGGGACUAAAAGCCCCCCUCCCCCUUUAGUGUCGGUUCGUCACGAACUAGGACCGAAUGGCCACUACGUGGCACGAGCCCGCGCGGGGGGCUGACCGGGACUAAAAGGUUUAGGGGUUUUGGGUUUUUGGUUUAUUUUUCCUUUUAAUUUUGUGUGUUCAGUUUAAUUCCUUUUAAUUUAAAACAUAUUUUGCGCUACUACAUAUUGUACACGUUAUGCAUAUAUAUAAAUAGAAUUUCUGGUAGAACCGAUCAUAUAUAUCAUCGAAUUUUUCGCACGACCAUUCACACAUGUACAUGUAUAUAUACAAUUUCUCCAAUAAUUUUCAGAUCAUUACGUGGAGUCAUUAUAGCUUGUAAUGGUAUUCUCCUUUCGGAUCUAUGGCCUGGUCGAGCAAAAAUCCCGCUAUUUCCUCUUGAAUUGCUCCUACGCGAUCCGUUGGUAGGAGCUGGUCCCGCUUUUGUUCCAUUUUUAUUAAAAAAAGAUCAAUAUGAAUAUAUUAGUUGUGUGUACAUAUAUUAGAUCAUUAUAAAAAGAAUUGUUAAUUGUGUUCUGGCAAACGUUCCCAAAAUUGUCUCUCACUUUAGGACCUUUUGAACGUCAUCAUGUGAGUGUUCUCGCAAACGUAGUAUGCACUUAAAUUAUUCCCCAGCGCCAGACUCAGGAGCUUUACGAGAAUAGAAUUCAAUUAGGUAAUAAUUAAUUAAGCAUAAUAAUGAUAUUGAAACUAGAAUUAAAGAGAAUGAAUUACCCUGGGUCGCAUCCAUUUCAGUUUUUGUUCCAUUGACCUUCAACCUGUUUCAUGAACUUUUUCCAAGCCCUGCCCUCCGGCAAAGAAAAUGAAUAAAGGAAUUAUUAAUUACUUGUUAUCAGGAAAUGAACUAAAGAGGCCGACAUAUAGUUCAAUAAUGAUUGAAAUUACAUGUCGACCACCCCCCUCAAGAUUGCGUAGUUUGUAUCGUCUUGAAGUUGUGAGUCCAGUACUAGAACUUCAAUGAUUAGCAAGAUCUAGUGAAAACUGCAUGCGCACACGUUUUUGUAUAAUUAAGCGGGCAUGUGCAUAUAUAACUCAUCAACUAUAGUUAUUAAAAUCUAGUAACCAAAAACAAAAUUUAUAGUACAAGACAGUGUCACACACCCAAAGUUGUAAGGAAGUAGUAUUUGUGACUGGGUAUAUAUUCGCACCAAGAACUCUACCAUGCUUUUCCCUGUGUCUUUUCGUUCCCGUUUACGCAUCCAUGUCUCUUCAUUAAUGAUAUAUGGCUCAAUCAACCCAAUGCCAUAGCGUCCAACUUUUUUUCAUUUCAUACAUCUUCAUUUUUCAUCAUACCAUAGAAAAGAAUAUAUAGUGAGGAUAACUACAUGUAAUGAACGAGCACUACAGCUAGCUAGAAUCUUAAAUUACACAAAGAAAUCACUUACAUACAAUAGCAAGUGACCAUAGAUUUAUCGAGUGCGUCUUGAUUGAGUAACUGAAACAUUUCUUGAUACUCAACCCACAACUAUUUUUUAUGGUAGUAAUGCUCUGCCUCGAUUUUCAUCAUGAGGGACUCUCAAUCCGUAGUCUUUACUACUCUCAGGUAGCAUUGAUGCAAUUCAAGCGGGAUCUGCUCAUGCUUGACCACAGGUUAGCCGUGGACAUAUUUCCAUUGUAGUUGCUCCUCUGUAAACGUUUGGAAGUCCCCGAUGCCUAGGAGUUGUUCUACAAUGACAUGGGACUCUUUAGCCCGCCUUCUAUGAUCAUCGAUUAUUACCAGCUGUUGAUCGACGGUACUCACAUGUGUUUGUAGUGGGGGCAUCUAUUGCACUGCCCGUUCUCCCAGCCAGGGAACAAUUUUCCCGCAUAUUUUGCCAACUGCUUGGCUCGAGCUCGACUCCCAGGGGCGGAGCCAGAAAAUUUGGUCAUUGGGUUCACUACAUGACUCAUUGUGACUAAUCAACAGGGGCUGCGUGCGUGCGAGAAAACCUUAGUGCGCGACUAAUCAACAGGGGGUUGCUAAUCACAGUUUAGAGCUGGCAAGGACUCCGGCUUUUCACUUUUGUGUCCUUUAUUUAGUUGUUCACAAGAGAAACUUUCGAUUGAUGGGUUCAGCCACAAUUUUUUAAUGGGUUCAUGAAGGUAAAUAAGCACCUACACACACGUACGGGUUAAAAUCUGUUGGGUUCAUUUGAACCCAAUGCUUAUACCUUGGCUCCGCCACUGUUGACUCCUUUUUUGUGUGCUCGAUAUGACUUCUUGAUAGAGCGGUCAUAGUAUGAGUCGAUAUGCUUGACAACUGGUUGAGCAUUAUUAAUAAAGUGUUGUAUGACAUGCUCAUGUGUAUGAUCUCCUUUGGCGGUGGGGGAGGUUUCGGUCCAAAAUGGGCCUUCACUUGGGCUUGCACUUCUGUUGUGUUUUCCUCGAGAGUCAGGUGCUAAGGCAACCUUGGAAGAGGCUUGGGGCUUGGACCAUAUCUGAAUUUCUUCCACCUGUUGUAACUCUAGUCGCUGUUGCUGAGGCGGCAGAGCCGCUGAGGCGGCGGAGACGGCUGACGUGGUGCCUGCUUGGACGAGGAGAAGGAGGCUGACGCGGUGCCAGACUUGGAGGAGGAGGAGUCGGCUGACGCAGUGGCGGACUUGGAGGAGGAGGAGUCGGCUGACGCGGUGUCGGACUUGGAGGAGGAGGAGUGGGCUGACGCGAUGCUGACUUGGAGGAGGAGAGCCGGCUGAUGAGGGGCCGGACUUGGAGGAGGAGGAGUGGACUGACGCGGUGGCGGACUUGGAUGAGGAGCCGACUGACGCGGUGUCGGUGGCCUUUGAAAGACGAUGCAAUCCUUUCUCCAUAGAGUGAUAUGGUGUAUGGACUUAGAUUCUUCGUCACGUGCAUCACGUCGAUUGAAGACCGGACCUCUAGGUGUUUCCAAUAGGGUAGCUCCCAAAAUAAAGAUUUCUUUUUCCACAUGGGCACGUGUCCGGUAACGUCGUCUUUCGGAACAGAUUGACCGCGAGGACCCUUUCCAAAGAUUACUAUUUGAUCCAAAUCCUUGACCAUAGCCAAUAACUCAUCACAAGUAGUGAGGUUAGGCUUCUUCCGGUGAUCUGCCUCACCGUUGAAAUGCUUGCCUUUCUUUCUUACGGUAUGAUUGGUCGAAAGAAAUUGACGAUACACCAGGUAGCCAACCUUCUUAGAUUUUCCCAAAUAUGUACCUUUAGUCUUAUCUAAACAGUGUGUACAUGCAUUGUAUCCCUUGUUUGAUUGUCCUAAAAUGUUACUAAGAGCAUGCCAAUCAUUGAUGGUUACGAACAACAAUGCUCAUAGGUCAAAUUCCUAUUCUUUGUGCUCAUCCCACACACGUACACCUGGUGAGCCCACAACUGCAAAAGUUCAUCAACUAAUGGCGUUAGGUACACAUCAAUGUCGUCGUAGGGUUGCUUCGGUCCUUUAGUCCCGGUCUGUGGUACGGGCCGGGACUAAAGGCCUAUUUUCUGUUUUCUUAUUUUAUUUGUUUUUGCAUAUUUGAGAAUAUAAAUAGUUAUGUGUUUGCAUAUUUGAGAAUUUGACAAAACUAUGAAAAUGAAAAGUGUUUGAAAUUGAAUAAAUAAUUCAAAACUAUUUUCUAUUUUCAAAAUUAAUUAUUUUGACUAUCCAAACUAUUAACUAUUUUGUUAUUUUCAAUUAAACACUAUGUUUAUUAAAAUUCUUUUUGCAUACUUGAGAAUUUGACAAAACUAUGAUAAUGAAAAGUGUUUGAAAUUGAAUAAAUAAUUCAAAAGUAAAAGGUUUAGUACAUUCCAUAUAUGCAUUACAUAAAAGGUUUAAUACAUUAUUACAUUAUUGCACCAAUAUUCCUAUCUAUUAUUUUUGUUUUCUUCUGGGUCAUAGCCAUGGAGAAUCUUCAUCAUUGAGUAGGAUGCUUGGGUCAGUUUUCACUUUGAAGGGCGGAAUUUCAUGAAACUUAUUAUAAUCUACUGACAUGUCUUCCUUGUCAUCUACUCCCACAAUGUUUCUUUUCCCUGAAAUAACUAUGUGGCGUUUUGGCUCAUCGGACGAUAUCUUCUUUUGCUGAUUUCUUUUUCUCGUUUUUGUAGACAUGUCGUUCACAUAGAAAACCUGAGCGACAUCAUUGGCUAGGACAAAUGGUUCGUCCAUGUACGCAAUAUUGUUGAGAUCCACUGUUGUCAUGCCGUACUUUUGGUCUACAACUACCCCGCCUCCUAUCAACUUCACCC
RNAcentral lists this long non-coding RNA (7793 nucleotides) under Hordeum vulgare. RNAcentral's name for it is "long non-coding RNA (HVUL_LNC008449)". The record is from RNAcentral. Lineage: Eukaryota; Viridiplantae; Streptophyta; Magnoliopsida; Poales; Poaceae.